GCUGUUGGUGUCGGCGUGGUAUCCUCGGUUCUUCUUCAAAACCCUUCUUCUCAAGAAUGAUGAAUAGCUUCUUCUCAAGAACGACUCACCUGCUUACCAAGGUUGCUGGCUUUGCUGUUGGUGUCGUCGUGGUAUCCUCGGUUGUAAAUGCCUCUACGUACACCGAACGCAUGGGUGAACGAGCAGUCAUCUUCCAUCCAUUUGGAGGUCGUACAGACAACACCAUCGUCGGUGAAAAGGAACUCAUUUCUGCAUUCCAUGGCUUCCAAAGCCCUCUAUAUUCAAUAUUCGUGUUCGACCUUACACUUUCAGUUUUGUUUCCUAUACUAAGGAUCGUCAAGAGGUGACUUUGACGGUGCGUGUUCUCUUUCAUCCUGAUAUCCCUUACCUCCCACAUAAUCAUCAAACUCUCCCUUCUAUUAACCAUAAGGAUCUGGAUGCUGUGGUCUCCAAAUUCACCUCUCAUGAGCUUGUGGCUAACUUGAUGGAUGUCUCCGCUCUUAUCCGUGAGGCACUGGCUGCCAGGGCUACAGAAUCACAUAUUGUCUUAGAUUACGUAUCCUUCACUAAUGUCUCCUUUAGUCCAGAAUUUUCCAGGGCUUGCGAGUCCGAGCAGGUUAGUAAGUUUGCAUCAAAGCAUCAAAAGACGCCCGAGUUGAAUGAGAUUUUUGAGGUUGCUCCUAGUAAGAAUAUUAAAGCAUCCUCAGCAUCAGGUGGCCUACUUGCCUUUGUCAGUCAUGAUAACUACCUUCAGAAAGGAAAGUGUUAAGCGACCACUGGAGGGAUUUGGAGUUCUUGUACCUUCCUUAGAGCAACAAAAUGGUCUAAGAACCCUUGGUACACUCUUUUCCUCCAUGAUGUUUCCAAAUCGUGCAUCAAAUGAUGAGUAUCUGUAUACUACUUUUAUUGGAGGGGGUCGAAACAGGGAGCUUGCAAAGUCAUCAACGGAUGAGCUGAAGCAAAUUGUUACAUCGGAUCUCAGACAGCUGUUGGGAGUUGAAGGGGAGCCCACUUUUGUCAACCAUUUCUACUGGAGGAAAGCAUUUCCCUUAUAUGGGCGUAACUAUGAUUCAGUUGUGAAGGCAAUUGAAACAAUGGAAAAAAGUCUUCCUGGCUUCUUUUAUGCAGGUAACCACAGGGAUGGUUUGUCUGUUGGAAAAUCUAUAGCCUCCGGAUGCAAAGCUGCUGAUCUUGUCAUUUCUUAUCUGGAGUCUUCUACUGAUCUGCCGUGUGCUGAACAACGAGAGUUGAAAAAAUGAAAGUACAUCCUUGUUACAUAGGACUCUCAAACUGUUGGAAGAAUCAGCUUCCAGCAUCCAUUAUCUGUCAAGUAAUUUUUCUGUCAAAACCUACAUGUUCAAAUACGAUGGUGUACACGGCCAGUGGAAGCACCACGAUAUUAAG
Cucurbita moschata (crookneck pumpkin) is the source of this 1404-nucleotide RNA transcript. It is a transcript of the gene named protoporphyrinogen oxidase, chloroplastic/mitochondrial-like, with no coding region annotated. The transcript is spliced from 8 exons. The record is from RefSeq and is a predicted model, not a curated record. NCBI's taxonomy places the organism in Eukaryota, Viridiplantae, Streptophyta, Magnoliopsida, Cucurbitales, Cucurbitaceae.